RNAcentral lists this long non-coding RNA (756 nucleotides) under Gossypium barbadense (sea-island cotton). RNAcentral's name for it is "long non-coding RNA (GBAR_LNC015149)". The record is from RNAcentral. Lineage: Eukaryota; Viridiplantae; Streptophyta; Magnoliopsida; Malvales; Malvaceae.
UGCAUUUGACAUAAAGCAGGUGGCCAGACACUAUUGGUCAUGGCUCUCUAACAUCAAAACGAUGCGUUUAUGAAGUUUUUUUUUUUUUGAAAAUACUCUAUAAUCAUGACCUUCAUCUUCCUUGAAACUACUUUUAUUGUUGUCGAGUUUUCAAAGUUUUCUUGCUUUUCUAUUGCUUGAAGUUCCCUCUUACUGGUUACAGUUUGAAAUUUUCUACAUUCCAUCGUCGUUUCAACAAGUUAAACAUGGUUAGACUUCCUAUGAGAGGACGAAGAAUUGGUAGGGUUUUGUCGCAAAGGGGUAGAGGUAGUUUCUCCACUACCAACAAUAGGGCAAUGAUGGCAAUUCCCAAGGGAAUUGUGACAACUUUUGAGCAAUAAGGGGCAAGUUCCAUAAGAGCAAAGGGUUGUAGAUGAGAUGGUUGCAAGUGGUUAGUGCACUUGUAUGCUACUACCGAGUGGGAAAUACGAAGGGUGUUAAGGUGUAGGGGGUUCCCCCAAAGGCAUCCAAAGUAUGAUUUUAACGUUUUGGAGGGGACACAUUACCUAAGUUUCAUGUUCGAGCCAAACUAUGGCAAGGGAAGACCAGUAUUCUACCUGUUGUUGUACUUGUUGGAAGCAGGGUUUCACUUGCCACCUCACUAGUUUGUCAUGGACCUGUUGAAUUCUUAUCGUUAGCACCCAGACAGCUGGUUGGAAGUUCUUGGUGGUUGAUAAUUAGAUUCAUCAUCAAAUGCGAGGCAGAGGGGUAUAUGGC